UGUGUCUAAACUAGGAAGACAUUUUCCAGGGCUGAGGUAAGGAGAGCUGAGAAGGCAAAGACUGCGAAUCUUGGGAACAGAGCACAAGCUUCUAGCUGCUGUUCCUGAAUCAGAGGAUCUCCCAAAAGUGAUACAGACCAGGGAUCGGUGAAUACUGGGUAGAAGACGGCGGUUUCCUGGCAAAGGCCCCACCAUCAAGCCUGAAGACCUGCAGCCCUAAAUGAGGACAGAUGUGACCUGCAAGCAAGGAGACGAGGAGGCAAGCAGACCAGCAGACCAGCAGACCAGCAGACCAGCAGACCAGCAAUGACGGAAUGAUGUGGCAGACAAAGAGAGAGGAGGAAGGAUGUCUGGACACCGAGGGGAGUUUGGCCAGGGGCAGUCAGAAAAGAGUCCCACCACUGGGAGUCCUGACUGCAGGGGAAGACCACCUUCCCUCUCCAUUCCCCCUUCUGGCUCCUCAUCCAUCUUGCUGAAAGCCAUCUCCACCACUCAAUA
This 498-nucleotide long non-coding RNA is filed under the name Homo sapiens (human). RNAcentral's name for it is "HSALNT0320956". Lineage: Eukaryota; Metazoa; Chordata; Mammalia; Primates; Hominidae. The record is from RNAcentral.